GACGAACCGUGCGAACGUUGUUCGGAAUCACUGGGCUUAAAGGGCGCGUAGGCGGGCUGUCAAGUCUGGGGUGAAAUGCCGCGGCUCAACCGUGGAACUGCCUUAGAUACUGACGGCCUCGAGGAAGGUAGGGGCAUGCGGAACUUCCGGUGGAGCGGUGAAAUGCGUAGAUAUCGGAAGGAACGCCGGUGGCGAAAGCGGCGUGCUGGACCUCUUCUGACGCUGAGGCGCGAAAGCUAGGGGAGCAAACGGG
This 253-nucleotide ribosomal RNA is filed under the name uncultured bacterium. RNAcentral's name for it is "partial 16S ribosomal RNA". It matches the Rfam family "Bacterial small subunit ribosomal RNA", at positions 524 to 776 of the family's 1533-position model. The record is from RNAcentral.